RNAcentral lists this long non-coding RNA (2484 nucleotides) under Helianthus annuus (common sunflower). RNAcentral describes it as "hypothetical non coding rna". Lineage: Eukaryota; Viridiplantae; Streptophyta; Magnoliopsida; Asterales; Asteraceae. The record is from RNAcentral.
UUUCUUUUCUUCUUCUCUCUAUACGUUGGUGUUCUAACCAAUAAUCACUCGAUCGCUAUUACGAUUCAAUUUCCGGGGUCAAUAUAUCCAAAGAAUGUCUAAGUGCCGCCCACAUUGGGUUAUACUUUGUCGUUUGUCAUUUCGAUAAAUGAGUUGAAGUAUUAUACUUUGUCGUUUGUCAUUUCGAUAAAUGAGUUGAAGUAUUAUACUUUGUCGUUUGUCAUUUCGAUAAAUGAGUUGAAGUAUUAUACUUUGUCGUUUGUCAUUUCGAUAAAUGAGUUGAAGUAUUAUACUUUGUCGUUUGUCAAUUCGAUAAAUAAGUUGAAGUAUUAUACUUUGUCGUUUGUCAUUUCGAUAAAUGAGUUGAAGUAUUAUACUUUGUCGUUUGUCGUCAAUUCGAUAAAUGAGUUGAAGUAUUGCACUUUGUCGUUCAUUGUGAGAAUUUGAUCUCGUGAGUUAUCGUAAAAGCUGUAUUGAUCAUUAACCCGGUUUUUGUGAAAUUCGUUAAGGUUCGAAUCUCAUGACUACCGUUAAGGUUUGAUUUGGGUUUUUCACCAAUACGUAUUCCGUUCUCUCAAACUAUGUAUUUAACUACCAAGAAUACUCCCAACUACACCCUUACAAUCAAACAAACUAUAAGAUCAUCAGAAGAUCCAGAAUAAUAAAGUGCAUGCCUAAUUAUCGGAAGAAGUAGAAUCAGGAAGUUUGUUAACUCAAUCCUGCAUACUGAUUUCCAAUGGUAAUUUCAAUAGAUUGGAGUAAGGAUUGGAUCCGACACUGAAAGGACUUCAAGAAGUGGCUUAUUUUCAAAUUAAGAAAUAUUGUUUUUAUUAAAAGCUACCUUUGUAAAACAUGGAAUUUAUUCCAUCUUUUUAAAUAAAAUCCGGUGUUUCUAAACUCUGAUAUUUUUCCUAACUCACGGUCCUGAUGAUUUCCGCUGCAAUGUUUUUCAAAAUAAUCACCGGUACCACUGGACUGCUCACGGCACCGAUUCCGGCCAGGAUGGGGUUGGGGGUCGUGACAUUUUCACAGUAAAUAAGUCCCUGGAACUCCAGCAAAAAGGCUCCAAAGUCCACUGAUUGUUUUUGUUUUCAUGAAAUCCUUGUUAUAUCUUACCAAACUUGAGUCUAUCUCAUCUCAAACCUAUGUCCUAAUGCUUACAACACUUUAGUGGUUGGUUAGGCUUAAAAACAAGGUUGAGACACUUAAAAAUCAGAGGAUUAAACCUCAUAAACUUGGUGUUUUGUUUAGGGUUUUUAACCCACAAGUCAUGUCAAACUUUGUCUUUGAUACAUGAGUGAUUAUGGAACAACUUGGGUUGUCCAAACAUACAAUCCUCACAUGAUUUGAUGAUUUCUCUUAGUUAGUAUGUAUAUUUCUUAUUCUUUAUUGUAUGUUCAUGACCCUCCUUGGUUGUUUUUUUUACAUCAAGUGUAGUGGUGAACACAUAGAGGUGCCUAAAUGGAAGACUUGAUCUUCCUACCUCCUACAUGAUUUAUAUGACAUUUAGAGGAACCAAAAUGAAGAUUUUAAUCUUCUACCUCAUGCUUGAACUAUUGGACAUAUAUAUUAUAUAACCUAAAUAUAUUAUUCGAAUAAUCGAAUCUUUGAUGAUGAACUAGUGUUCAUAUGUCGGGGUACUAGAUUACAUCAUCCUAGACUAUGAUAACUUGCCACGAUUCUAAUGGAACCUUGUUCCAUGAAAACAUCUAAACUCCUUCGAGUUUCCUAGUGUCAAGAACAAGCAUCAUAUGUACUAAAUGAUUAUUUUCCAUGUUAUUCUCAUAUCUUAUUUUUAUGUUGUUUUAAACACUGAAUCUCGACUCUAAACAUACUUGAACUUUAACCCUUAUACAUUCGGACUCUAAAUCUCUACUCGUCAACAAUUGGAUAAUCGGAAAGCAUAUGCAAGCCUUGUGAGUAUACUCGUAUUCCCCCUUUUACUUUUAUCACUUUUGAGGUGUAACAUGUUUAUCUAUCAACAAACUUACACAUGAACAUUUUGCUUAAACACAUGAACAUUCCUACAACAUGCUUGUAUACAUGAUGGCUUGAUACUUUAAACUUGGGUGAAACUUAUGUGUUAAAUUUAUCAUUAACUUCGUACGAGCCAAACCGUGACAUAUGUAGCGCUACAGGAUUAACGACCCGCCCUUUAUCAUCGGUAAUGUCAUGAGCAUAUUGCGUUUCCUUGGUUUGAUAUGUUAGACACAUGCUGAUGCGUGUCAGUGUGUAUAUGUUUUUAAUAUAUAAUUAAGCCCUUUUUACACUUUUAGCCAAGUUUUAAAUUUAUAAAACACGAUAUUUACUAACACUAAACACACAUAUGGGCAAGUGCACCCAUCGUGGACGUAGUAUAGUGUUGGUAAGAUACCGAGGUCGUCCAAGGACACAAGAGCUUUUAAUACCGGUUUAUCCUCAACGUCUAAUCAAAUCAAAAAGGUUAGAAAAUGUUUUAAACUAAGAAAAGUAAAAACUAAUUAA